UGAGGAAUUUUCCGCAAUGGGCGAAAGCCUGACGGAGCAAUGCCGCGUGGAGGAAGAAGGUCCGUGGAUUGUAAACUCCUUUUCUCAGGGAAGAAUAAAUGACUGUACCUGAGGAAUAAGCACCGGCCAACUCUGUGCCAGCAGCCGCGGUAAGACAGAGGGUGCAAGCGUUAACCGGAAUGAUUGGGUGUAAAGCGUCUGUAGGUGGUUUCGGAAGUCGAAUGUCAAAUCCCAGGGCUCAACCCUGGACCGGCAUUCGAGAACUCCGAGACUUGAGUAUGGUAGGGGCAAAGGGAAUUCCCUGUUUAGAGGUGAAAUUCAUAGAGAUAGGGAAGAACACCAGUGGCGAAGGCGCUUUGCUGGGCCAAAACUGACACUGAGAGACGAAAGCUAAGGGAGCAAAUAGG
Molecule: ribosomal RNA, 407 nt
Filed under: uncultured cyanobacterium
Lineage: Bacteria; Bacillati; Cyanobacteriota
Description: bacterial SSU rRNA
Rfam family: Bacterial small subunit ribosomal RNA
Source: RNAcentral